GAUGAACGCUGGCGGCGUGCCUAAUACAUGCAAGUCGAGCGAACGGACGAGAAGCUUGCUUCUCUGAUGUUAGCGGCGGACGGGUGAGUAACACGUGGAUAACCUACCUAUAAGACUGGGAUAACUUCGGGAAACCGGAGCUAAUACCGGAUAAUAUUUUGGACCGCAUGGUCCAAAAGUGAAAGACGGUCUUGCUGUCACUUAUAGAUGGAUCCGCGCUGCAUUAGCUAGUUGGUAAGGUAACGGCUUACCAAGGCAACGAUGCAUAGCCGACCUGAGAGGGUGAUCGGCCACACUGGAACUGAGACACGGUCCAGACUCCUACGGGAGGCAGCAGUAGGGAAUCUUCCGCAAUGGGCGAAAGCCUGACGGAGCAACGCCGCGUGAGUGAUAAAGGUCUUCGGAUCGUAAAACUCUGUUAUUAGGGAAGAACAUAUGUGUAAGUAACUGUGCACAUCUUGACGGUACCUAAUCAGAAAGCCACGGCUAACUACGUG
Molecule: ribosomal RNA, 497 nt
Filed under: uncultured bacterium
Lineage: Bacteria
Description: partial 16S ribosomal RNA
Rfam family: Bacterial small subunit ribosomal RNA
Source: RNAcentral